Molecule: ribosomal RNA, 465 nt
Filed under: uncultured bacterium
Lineage: Bacteria
Description: partial 16S ribosomal RNA
Rfam family: Bacterial small subunit ribosomal RNA
Source: RNAcentral
GAUGAACGCUGGCGGCGUGCUUAACACAUGCAAGUCGAACGGAAAGGCUCCUGCUUGCAGGGGUACUCGAGUGGCGAACGGGUGAGUAACACGUGGGUGAUCUGCCCUGCACUUCGGGAUAAGCCUGGGAAACUGGGUCUAAUACCGGAUAGGACCACAUUUUGGAUGGUGUGGUGGAAAGUUUUUCGGUGUGGGAUGAGCUCGCGGCCUAUCAGCUUGUUGGUGGGGUAAUGGCCUACCAAGGCGUCGACGGGUAGCCGGCCUGAGAGGGUGUACGGCCACAUUGGUACUGAGAUACGGGCCAGACUCCUACGGGGGGCAGCAGCGGGGAAUAGUGCACAAUGGGCGCAAGCCUGAUGCAGCGACGCCGCGUGGGGGAUGACGGCCUUCGGGUUGGAAACUCCUUUCGCUAGGGACGAAGCGCAAGUGACGGUACCUGGAGAAGAAGCACCGGCUAACUACGUG